Molecule: ribosomal RNA, 393 nt
Filed under: uncultured bacterium
Lineage: Bacteria
Description: bacterial SSU rRNA
Rfam family: Bacterial small subunit ribosomal RNA
Source: RNAcentral
GACGAACGCUGGCGGCGUGCUUAACACAUGCAAGUCGAACGGAGCACCCUUGACUGAGGUUUCGGCCAAAUGAUAGGAAUGCUUAGUGGCGGACUGGUGAGUAACGCGUGAGGAACCCUGCCUUCCAGAGGGGGACAACAGUUGGAAACGACUGCUAAUACCGCAUGACGCAUGACUGGGGCAUACCCGGGCAUGUCAAAGAUUUUAUCGCUGGAAGAUGGCCUCGCGUCUGAUUAGCUAGGAUGGUGGGUAACGGCCCACCAUGGCGACGAUCAGUAGCCGGACUGAGAGGUUGACCGGCCACAUUGGGACUGAGAUACGGGCCCAGGACUCCUACGGGAGCAGCAGUGGGGAAUAUUGGGCAAUGGACGCAAGUCUGACCCAGCAACGCCG